UACAGUACAUGUAUAACAUUUUAAGCUAAAUAUUUUUUAAAAAUCAAUCAUAUGUAUGCAUCAUUUUCUAUAUGUACUAGUUUGCAGUGUGUGCAGACUGAUGCUGGCACCAUCACCUUUAUCAAUAAGGGGAAGAGGACAGAGCAUGUAUUGGAUUCAUUAUAUUGCUUAUCUGAUUCUGUGUGCAUUGUUUGUUCACUGCAGGUGCUAGUGCAGGGCUGCCAGCUAGAUCGGACCGACUUGGAUCAGUUCUUGCUCCAGAUUUAUCAGUAGCUGCGCUCUGUGGAGAACAUUGCAGAGGUGUGGCAGAGGACAGGUGAGUCACUGCACAGGCCGCAAACCCUGUCUGAAAAUCUUCUUGAUUCUCUCAGCGAAUACAACCCUCUAUUGUCCACUUUCUCAUCUGCUGUGCUAACUGCUGUUUCUUAGGCACUCUCGCAUUCUGGUUUUCCAUUAUUCGCUCCAUACGUGUGGCUCUCAAUGCCACAUGUAGCAAUGUUUUCCUAAUACGUGUUUUCAGUAUGACGGAACCAUUUUGUCCUCUGGUCUGGUAAUGGAGGAUCUGCCGCACAGGAAGCUGGGUGUUUCCAUGGUAACAGCUGAUGUGGGGCUGGUUUGUAUGGUCCACCAGGGAAUCCUGGCUCUGCAGCUGCUGCCCGCAAACUCCAGUGCAGAAUCCGUCUGGCUGAAGGGUUUCAUUUUGCGGCCAGUGGAGAAGGAAUUGUCAAUAUGGUGAUGGAGCUGCCGAUGAAGAGCACGUUUGGUGAUGGGGAUGGCGAGACCCACACCAGCAUCAUACAGUACACCCUUUUCCCUCCCCACUCAACCUCCACCAAGGACAGCUUCUCCACAGACGAUAACAGUGACACAGAGGUGGAGGCGAUAGAGAUGGAUGCCAAGCUGAACCUGGUGACUGACUGCUGGGUGGAGCCUCAGAGUGACACCGUUUUCACCACCUCUGAGAAUCGCAGUUACCUCCAAGGAUUGCCCUAUCAGGAGAUACCUCAAGCGGCUGACAGGUGGAGACCUCUUCUUCAAACUCCCUGACCCACACAAGCAGGCAGUGCUGGCCACCAUGGAUGAGAUCUCCAUGACAGUCACAUCUGUAACUCCUUGCUGGUUGCAGAGAGUGAGGAAGACAUCUGGAAACACCUACAGGAAGCAAACAGCACCACUGAUGUGCUGACAGCCUGAUGAAUCAAUAUUUUAACAUGGCAGUAUAGUCUUUACAGAAAACCAAGACUUACAGAAAAAACAACCUUUCCAGAUGUUUCUUUCCAGAGUUGGAAACGGUUGAGACUGCUCAGCACUCAGUGAUGGGAGAGACGAGACUUUCUGUCCAAUGAGCUCCUGGUCAAAAAACACAAGGAUCUGUCCAACUAAUGACAGUAUUUAUAGACUUCUGUCCAAAGAACUACCUUUUUACAAAGCUUUAAUAACACCAAGUAUAUAUGUGAUUCAGACAUGUCAUGAGAUGUACUGCUUAUGUGUAGAUGAUGAUAUACAUUUUCUGUUGCAAAAAUAAUUUUGGAUAAUCCCUUUAUUGCAGAUUAUUCAGAAGGUGAGAGUUACCAGCCUAGAGAUUACCUGGCAGCCACUAUGCAGUUCAUCCCAGGUCAUUUUGCCUGCAAGGUUGUGUAGAGCACCAUUUACAUUCACCCACGACUCAAAAUGAGGCCCAACAUGGGCGUCAGUCGAGGUACGUCACAGUGCUCUAAAACUGGGAUUUAAGAGACUACCUACCCCAAGUCUAAAGGGUCUUAUUUGGUUUUACUACUAGAAGCUAAAUUCACAUAGCUGAAACCCUUUGUUAAAACCCAUAGAAACAGCACAUAAUGAAAACAAAUAGCAUUUUUUAUUAUUAUUAUUAAUCUUGACCAAAAGACCUUAUUGAAUGACAAAGUACAUAUUUGUUGAGGCUCUAGUCCCCAAGGUGGUCUCUGUUUAAUUAUGCAGUUAAAGUAAUUUGCAUGCAGAUGGUAAGUUCGCCAAUGUUUGCGCUUCCUGUUCUACCAUUUGUUCAGGCCUGAUUCAGUCCUUUGAGAAUAAGAUAAAACAUUGAAGUUUCUGUGCUGUGAUUUAGAUCUGUUUGUCUCUUCUUUUCAUGUGUUAUUUUUCAGAUAUAAACAAAUGUAUAAUUCAUAAUGCUGUAUUCUAAAACAGGAAUAACAGUAGUCAUAAGUGUGUGUGUAUUAACCCUAAUAAGGAUGUCAGUAUUUCUACAGCGAUCCAUGCUCUUCGCUCAGUGCUGAAUGCCUUCUGUGUUGUGAAUAGGAAGAAUAUGUUUGUGUACCAGGAGCAUACUACCAAAUCUGUUUUCUACCUCAGGUUAGCAUUAAUACUGAUCAAGUGUUGUUGUUUUUAUUUUUCCUUCACUUCACAUGUAGACCACCACUCUCCUAGGGAAAUAAAUAAAUCAGAUCAGGCUCCUGAAUUGAAAAACAUUUUAUCUUAACUAUAUGUUUGCAAGGAGCUUAACAUAAAUGUCCGAAACUUUGAUGUUCAGCCUUAAUUGCACAGAAGUAUAUUGUUAGUUUAUUUCCAACAGGCUGUCGGAGAUGGUGCUCAUUGGGAAGUUUUCAGAGUUGCAUGACAACCCCCACCUUCGUCUCGCUCGCUGGCUCUGACACGCAGCCAGGAGCCCCUCUACUCGGAAGACGUGUUGGUAACACAGUCGCACUUUCCUGCACUCUGCUUCAGCUUUAGUUCGUGGAAAUGGUUUUAAUAUUCUUGGAUGUGUGUGGAGCCCAAGCAUUUCAUUAUCAGUCUUGUGUUUCACAAGCAAUUUACAAUGUCCGUCUAGUUUUCCCACUUAUCCCACUGUGUGUCCCACGACGAGUCGGGGACGAGGGGAGCAUUCAAACUGGAAGGACCUGAGAGCAAUGAGUGAGGCAGAGAAGGGGUGGCACCUUUAUCUCAUUGCAUUUAGAAAUGGGGUCUGAAGUAAAAUGCAGGGGUCAGCACAUUGAAAAACAGGCGCUGAUUUGUCAAAAUAGAGAAACUCUAAAGUUGGUAGAAAUCUGCGUCAGCAUUUCUCUGCCACAUGUAAUCUAGGUGCACAGUCGUCAGUUGUUGGUUGAAUUUAAGCAGUCUGCAGUGUGCAUGCUUCUUUAAAUGCUUAUGGUGUAGUACAACUUGAGGCACACAAGGGGGCAGUCUUACUCCAGUGAAACUCACCAAAACAGUGAAAGAAUAUUAUGGCACAUUAUUGAAUUAAAUCUCCUCAUUGCAGAAAAAUAUAUAUAUCCUGUGAAUCUUGUAUGUUGUGCAGUUAGCUGAUUGCACAAACAGUGAGUAUGCUGUUAUAUCUUGGACUUCUACUCCUUCCCCCCCCCACACCCACACCCACACCCACACAGAGCCAGAGAUCACAGACAAGCUGUUGAAGGUUCUUCAAAAGCAUUUGGACGAGGCGACGCUUGACAUUAUCACUGUGAUGUUAGUCAGGCACUGCAAACUGACACCUGCGGACGUGGAGAUAAAGGUCAUGCUGUUUCAUCCAUACAAGCCGCUGUUUUAAAAUAAUAAUAAUAAUAAUAAUAAUAAAUUAUAUAAUAUA
Molecule: RNA transcript, 3559 nt
Organism: Polyodon spathula (Mississippi paddlefish)
Lineage: Eukaryota; Metazoa; Chordata; Actinopteri; Acipenseriformes; Polyodontidae
Gene name: KICSTOR complex protein SZT2-like
Exons: 7
Source: RefSeq, a predicted model, not a curated record